GAAGGUGGACUGUGAGGUCUGCUGGAGGUAUCAGAAGUGCGAAUGCUGACAUAAGUAACGAUAAAGCGGGUGAAAAGCCCGCUCGCCGGAAGACCAAGGGUUCCUGUCCAACGUUAAUCGGGGCAGGGUGAGUCGACCCCUAAGGCGAGGCCGAAAGGCGUAGUCGAUGGGAAACAGGUUAAUAUUCCUGUACUCGGUGUUACUGCGAAGGGGGGACGGAGAAGGCUAUGUUGGCCGGGCGACGGUUGUCCCGGUUUAAGCGUGUAGGUGUGUGCUCCAGGCAAAUCCGGUGCACUUUAACACUGAGGCGUGAUGACGAGGCACUACGGUGCUGAAGCAACAAAUGCCCUGCUUCCAGGAAAAGCCUCUAAGCAUCAGGUAACAUCAAAUCGUACCCCAAACCGACACAGGUGGUCAGGUAGAGAAUACCAAGGCGCUUGAGAGAACUCGGGUGAAGGAACUAGGCAAAAUGGUGCCGUAACUUCGGGAGAAGGCACGCUGGUGCGUAGGUGAAGCGACUUGCUCGCGGAGCUGAAACCAGUCGAAGAUACCAGCUGGCUGCAACUGUUUAUUAAAAACACAGCACUGUGCAAACACGAAAGUGGACGUAUACGGUGUGACGCCUGCCCGGUGCCGGAAGGUUAAUUGAUGGGGUUAUCCGUAAGGAGAAGCUCUUGAUCGAAGCCCCGGUAAACGGCGGCCGUAACUAUAACGGUCCUAAGGUAGCGAAAUUCCUUGUCGGGUAAGUUCCGACCUGCACGAAUGGCGUAAUGAUGGCCAGGCUGUCUCCACCCGAGACUCAGUGAAAUUGAAAUCGCUGUGAAGAUGCAGUGUACCCGCGGCAAGACGGAAAGACCCCGUGAACCUUUACUAUAGCUUGACACUGAACAUUGAGCCUUGAUGUGUAGGAUAGGUGGGAGGCUUUGAAGCGUGGACGCCAGUCUGCGUGGAGCCAACCUUGAAAUACCACCCUUUAAUGUUUGAUGUUCUAACCUGGCGCCAUAAUCUGGCGUGGGGACAGUGUCUGGUGGGUAGUUUGACUGGGGCGGUCUCCUCCUAAAGCGUAACGGAGGAGCACGAAGGUUAGCUAAUCCUGGUCGGACAUCAGGAGGUUAGUGCAAAGGCAUAAGCUAGCUUGACUGCGAGAGUGACGGCUCGAGCAGGUGCGAAAGCAGGUCUUAGUGAUCCGGUGGUUCUGAAUGGAAGGGCCAUCGCUCAACGGAUAAAAGGUACUCCGGGGAUAACAGGCUGAUACCGCCCAAGAGUUCAUAUCGACGGCGGUGUUUGGCACCUCGAUGUCGGCUCAUCACAUCCUGGGGCUGAAGUAGGUCCCAAGGGUAUGGCUGUUCGCCAUUUAAAGUGGUACGCGAGCUGGGUUUAGAACGUCGUGAGACAGUUCGGUCCCUAUCUGCCGUGGGCGCUGGAGAAUUGAGGGGGGUUGCUCCUAGUACGAGAGGACCGGAGUGAACGCAUCACUGGUGUUCGGGUUGUCAUGCCAAUGGCACUGCCCGGUAGCUAAAUGCGGAAGAGAUAAGUGCUGAAAGCAUCUAAGCACGAAACUUGCCCCGAGAUGAGUUCUCCCUGACCCUUUAAGGGUCCUGAAGGAACGUUGAAGACGACGACGUUGAUAGGCCGGGUGUGUAAGCGCAGCGAUGCGUUGAGCUAACCGGUACUAAUGAACCGUGAGGCUUAACCUU
RNAcentral lists this ribosomal RNA (1697 nucleotides) under Siccibacter colletis. Its description in RNAcentral is "bacterial LSU rRNA". It matches the Rfam family "Bacterial large subunit ribosomal RNA", at positions 1252 to 2925 of the family's 2925-position model. The record is from RNAcentral. Lineage: Bacteria; Pseudomonadati; Pseudomonadota; Gammaproteobacteria; Enterobacterales; Enterobacteriaceae.